Molecule: long non-coding RNA, 338 nt
Filed under: Brassica napus (rape)
Lineage: Eukaryota; Viridiplantae; Streptophyta; Magnoliopsida; Brassicales; Brassicaceae
Description: long non-coding RNA (BNAP_LNC014939)
Source: RNAcentral
AAUCUCCAAAAUAACACAUUUCUAAAUUUAUGUCACAAAAAUAGCCCUCAAAAACUAAAAUGACAAAAAUAACAUUUUAUCUUUUGAAAAAUUUAAAUUUUUUUUAUUUUUCAAAAUUUAAAAUUUUAUCCCAAAACCCCACUCCUCAACUCUAAACCCUAAACUCUAAACCCUAAAUCCUAAACCCUAAACCCUAAACCCUAAAUCCUAAACCUCCUCCUUAACUCUAAACCCUAAACCCUAAACUUCACCCCUUAACUCUAAACCCUAAACCCCACCCCUAAACUCUAAACCCUAAACCCUAAAUCCUAAACUUCACCCCUUAACUCUAAACCCUA